GGGUGGCUAAGUUUUCUGGAGCGCAUUCUUUCUUCAUAUGGCUUGCUUGGCUAAAUCGUCUAAAUAUGAAUCAAGUACAAAUGUAGUUAACGCCUCUUGUUAUUGUUGGGAUUUUCACCUUGAAUCUAUCAAUCAUUUUCUUCGAGGGUGUUCCACGAAAAACGAAAUUUGGACUUCGCUACAAAUUUAAUCUCAAGUACCGCCUGACUUUUUCAAUUCAUAUUUUGAAACAUGGCUUAUGGAAAACUUGAAGUAAACUAUUAUCUUGAAUUUUCAAAUUCCAUGGGGGGAGGUUAUUUUUUCUUCCUUGGAAAUGUCGCAAAAAAUGUGUUUUUCAGGGCCAAUUGAUGUCGACGACACAUGCUCUGGCUCAUGCAAAAAGAUUUCCUCUGGAUAUUUGCAAAGCUGUGAAUACAGCAGUGGCUAGUAUUGCAAGGGGUCCUAGAAUCGUUGGAUGGAAGAAACCUCUGAUGGUGAGCGACGACCAACGACUGGCAUGGCCUCCGCAGGUGGUGUUCUGCGAAAUGAAAGGCUUUUUAUUGCUGUCGCUGUUCAACGGGCAGAAGCCCAGAACUCAGCUUUACUGGGGGUUCCUUCUUUUGGGUCUUUACAUCACAUCGCAUGUGGGUUGGUAGGAAUUUGAAAAUUUUAGUUACAAUUUGAGCCUUUGUGUGCAAGUUAACCUAGCUUGGAUCAUAGGCCUUACUCGUUUCAGCAUGGAAUCAAAAUGCCAAAGCAUUUCAUUAUCACCAAUGUACUACUGUCUUUAACAACGUUGUCGGGUCCCCAAGUA
Gossypium arboreum is the source of this 793-nucleotide long non-coding RNA. RefSeq lists it as uncharacterized. The record is from RefSeq and is a predicted model, not a curated record. The transcript is spliced from 2 exons. Lineage: Eukaryota; Viridiplantae; Streptophyta; Magnoliopsida; Malvales; Malvaceae.